AGGACGAACGCUGGCGGCGUGCUUAACACAUGCAAGUCAAGGGGGCCCGCAAGGGCAACCGGCGAACGGGUGCGUAACACGUGAGCAACCUGCCGAUCUGCGGGGGAUAGCCGGCCCAACGGCCGGGUAAUACCGCAUACGUUCUCGAGGGGGAGUCCCCUUGAGAGGAAACCUUUAUUGGGCGGAUCGAGGGGCUCGCGGCCUAUCAGCUAGUUGGCGGGGUAAUGGCCCACCAAGGCUCUGACGGGUAGCUGGU
Molecule: ribosomal RNA, 256 nt
Filed under: uncultured bacterium
Lineage: Bacteria
Description: partial small subunit ribosomal RNA
Rfam family: Bacterial small subunit ribosomal RNA
Source: RNAcentral